UAGAUGGUUACUUCUGAAGCCACCUGAAGAGCUGGCGUUCUUAUCGCUUGCCUGUGAAAGCCUGAGACAGACAGACAGAUAAGGAGCCUAGACUUCUCCAGAAUUUCUGGCUAUUGUGUCAUGACUGUUUGGAGGAGUGUAAGCAGAGCAUGGAAAAGAGCGUGGAUCUAAACAGAGAAAAUGCACAUAAGGAGCCUGGGCAGACCCGCCUUCAUGUGAAAGGCUGGAGAAAGCUUGGAGAUAACAACAUAGAGCUGUAAUGGAUUUCCUGGGUUUUUCCACUCCAGUUGCUCUUUUGCCACCUGAAGAAGGAGGAACAGAGAUGGUGAGAGUGCCUACGUGAUGAGACAUCUGGAAGUCCUUAUCAAGAAUGAAACACUUGAGCAACCCAUUUCCUUAGCACUUACCCAAAGGCCAGAGAUGCUGUCUGCAAUACUCUGCAGGAAGUCCCAAAGCUAA
Molecule: long non-coding RNA, 459 nt
Filed under: Numida meleagris (helmeted guineafowl)
Lineage: Eukaryota; Metazoa; Chordata; Aves; Galliformes; Numididae
Description: lncRNA (ENSNMEG00000001494.1)
Source: RNAcentral